UCGCAUCCGCCAAUCGGUCCAGCCGUGUCGCGGAAGGUUUCUCAACCAGCUAAUGCUUCCCGAAGGGAAGCGGAGGUCAGCG
Regulatory RNA element from Acidovorax sp., 82 nucleotides. It matches the Rfam family "SucA RNA motif". The record is from Rfam. NCBI's taxonomy places the organism in Bacteria, Pseudomonadati, Pseudomonadota, Betaproteobacteria, Burkholderiales, Comamonadaceae.